GCGGGGCUCCCCAGCCGGACACUGGCUCCAGGUGGUGCUCCUCACCCGGACACUGGCUCCAGGUGGAGCUCCCCAGCCGGACACUGGCUCCAGGUGGUGCUCCCCAACGGACACUGGCUCCAAGUGGUGCUCCCCAGCUGACACUGGCUCCAGAGGUGCUCCCCAGCUGGACACUGGCUCCAGGUGGGGCUCCUCACCCGGACACUGGCUCCAGGUGGUGCUCCCCAGCCGGACACUGGCUCCAGGUGGUGCUCCCCAGCCGGACACUGGCUCCAGGUGGUGCUCCCCAGCAGGACACUGGCUCCAGCUGUGCUCCCCAGCAGACACUAGCUCCAGCAGUGCUCCCCAGUGGACACUGGCUCCAGGCGGUGCUCCCCAGCCAGAUACUGGCUCCAGGUGGUGCUCCCCAGCAGGACACUGGCUCCAGGUGGUGCUCCCCAGCAGGACACUGGCUCCAGCGGUGCUCCCCAGCCAGACACUGGCUCCAGGAGUGCUCCCCAGCUGGACACUGGCUCCGGGAGUGCUCCCCAGCCGGACACUGGCUCCAGGAGUGCUCCCCAGCAGGACACUGGCUCCAGCGGUGCUCCCCAGCCAGACACUGGCUCCAGGAGUGCUCCCCAGCUGGACACUGGCUCCGGGAGUGCUCCCCAGCCGGACACUGGCUCCAGGAGUGCUCCCCAGCUGGACACUGGCUCCGGGAGUGCUCCCCAGCCGGACACUGGCUCCAGGAGUUGCUGCUGGUAUGUGGCCAGCUGCUGGGUGUCUGGUCCUCUCUCCAUGCUGCUCAGAGUCUCUGGCCAUUCUCCACUGAAAAUCUCUCUCAACCAGUACCAGUCCCCGGAACACGGCCCUGCCUUUGUUUUUCUGGCAUUUUUAUGUGGCUGAAAUAAGCCUGUCUUCUCACCAGUCAGCCAUCUUGGAUUCCAAACAGGUUUUAAGUUUUCCAGCAUAAAGCGUACGCUCCGUGGUCCUCUCCUGAAGUGCUGUGUCGUUGAUCACCCAGAGCCCGCAG
RNAcentral lists this long non-coding RNA (1012 nucleotides) under Oryctolagus cuniculus (rabbit). RNAcentral's name for it is "lncRNA (ENSOCUG00000036301.1)". The record is from RNAcentral. Lineage: Eukaryota; Metazoa; Chordata; Mammalia; Lagomorpha; Leporidae.